This 253-nucleotide ribosomal RNA is filed under the name uncultured bacterium. Its description in RNAcentral is "partial 16S ribosomal RNA". It matches the Rfam family "Bacterial small subunit ribosomal RNA", at positions 524 to 776 of the family's 1533-position model. The record is from RNAcentral.
GAUGAAGGGGGCUAGCGUUGUUCGGAAUUACUGGGCGUAAAGCGCGUGUAGGCGGUUGUUCAAGUCAGGUGUGAAAGCCUUGAGCUCAACUCAAGAAAUGCACUUGAUACUGGAUGACUAGAGGACCGGAGAGGAUAGUGGAAUUCCCAGUGUAGUGGUGAAAUACGUAGAGAUUGGGAAGAACACCAGUGGCGAAGGCGGCUAUCUGGACGGUUUCUGACGCUAAGACGCGAAAGCGUGGGGAGCAAACAGG